RNAcentral lists this unclassified non-coding RNA (314 nucleotides) under Hevea brasiliensis (rubber tree). The record is from RNAcentral. Lineage: Eukaryota; Viridiplantae; Streptophyta; Magnoliopsida; Malpighiales; Euphorbiaceae.
GGGACAGGUACAGAGACACGACGGUUCCUGUAUUGUUUACGAUGCUUCCGAACAGAUUCUAGCUCUUUUUUUAGUACACCAAUUUGAGUACGUAAAAUUCUCUUGUCUACUUCGAUCUGUUUUUCACCCAUACCCUUGACCUGCCCUCCAGCUUGACGCUCAAGGUGAGUCCACAUACGGGUUAACCGUGGUAAUUGGUAUUCCAUUUGUGCCAAUGACACCUGUAAAGAUGCUUCACGGGUUGCUGCACGCUGGUUGAAAAUAUCCAGUAUGAGAGCAGUGCGAUCACACACUCUAACAUCUCCACCAAAAGC